Molecule: non-coding RNA, 338 nt
Organism: Salvia hispanica
Lineage: Eukaryota; Viridiplantae; Streptophyta; Magnoliopsida; Lamiales; Lamiaceae
Source: RefSeq, a predicted model, not a curated record
CUGCCGCGAGGGCAGCAAGAUGGGCGUAUAUGCGUGUGGCUGCCGGAGACAGCAGCAGCGGCACCGGCAGAGGCAGGGGCGGCUGUUUUCGGGUGGCUCGGUGUUUACGAAGUACUCUUAAGAGCUAAGUAUUCGACAAGAUUUACAUAAGGUAUCGGGGUUCAAGGCGUAACUAUUGCGCAAGAUCCGAAGGGCAUGGAGAGUUUAUUUUUAUUUUUAUUAUUUUCCUCUACUCAAACGUCGAACUCGGGUACGAACUUUUGUUUGAAACUUUGUAUUCACAACGGACUUUUAUUAGAGUAAACUAUAUAUUGUAAUAUUACUAUUUUCGAACACUA